Molecule: ribosomal RNA, 253 nt
Filed under: uncultured bacterium
Lineage: Bacteria
Description: partial 16S ribosomal RNA
Rfam family: Bacterial small subunit ribosomal RNA
Source: RNAcentral
UACGAAGGGUGCAAGCGUUACUCGGAAUUACUGGGCGUAAAGCGUGCGUAGGCGGUUCGUUAAGUCCGUUGUGAAAGCCCUGGGCUCAACCUGGGAAUUGCAGUGGAUACUGGCAAGCUAGGGUGCGGUAGAGGGAAGCGGAAUUUCCGGUGUAGCGGUGAAAUGCGUAGAUAUCGGAAGGAACAUCAGUGGCGAAAGCGGCUUCCUGGACCAGCACCGACGUUCAGGCACGAAAGCGUGGGGAGCAAACAGG